GCCUGCUUGGCUCAGUUGGCAGAGCGUCUGCCUAGUAAGCAGAAGGUCACUGGUUCGAUUCCAGUAGUAGGCA
Dichotomocladium elegans is the source of this 73-nucleotide non-coding RNA. Lineage: Eukaryota; Fungi; Mucoromycota; Mucoromycetes; Mucorales; Lichtheimiaceae. The record is from the annotation of a GenBank genome assembly.